UUUUUUACAUUUUACACUUCAAUACCUAUGAUGUCUGUAAAUUUUGAAAAAAUUGACUUAUGCUUUGAUGAAAUAUAUGAACUUAAAAAACAUGUCAAUUUUUGAAAAACGGCAACGCCAUAUUUCCGCUCUUGGCAUUUUUUGAGAAAAACUAAAAACGCAGUUUUGUUGGAAUCAAUAAGAGUACUGCGCACACCAAAUUUAAAUGAAAUCGUUAGAGCCGUUUUCGAGAAAUUUGAAAUACCUCGAAAACGUUAUAUGGGAGAUAUGCGUUAAAUUGGAGAUAUUAAAAAAAUAAAAAAAACGGACCUAGGGAAUUACGUAAAAAUCAUCUGUACCAAGUUUCAAGCAAAUCCAUCCACCCGUUUAGGCCCUAGCUCGAUGUACAGAUGGACGCACAGACGCACAGACGCACACACGCACAGACCGACGGACGGCAUGACGAAAACCACUUUUUUGAUCUUCUCCAUCAUCGUAAUGUUGGUUUUGAUUAAAACCUCGAUUUUUUUUUCUACACGAAACCAAUACUUGCCCUAUAGAGAAAGUAAAAAAGGACAUAUGUAUGUAUUUAUAUUAUAUUACCCCGCACGCAUCAAGCGCUAUUGCAUUUAUCAAAUGGAAAGCCAGUUUUAUAAAUAAACAAAUAACAAUUGGAAUUUUAUUUAAAGGAAAUAUUAGUUCAGCUCAUAACAAAGUUUUUGAUUAGAAUAAUUAAUAUUGAAAAAUAAUUUUCUGAUAUAAAAUUAUUUACUAACUCAAUAUAUAAAACAAAAAACAAGUAGUUGUAAAUAACAAGUAACAUAUAAUAAGUUCUUAACUUCAAUACUUUCCCUUGUUACUUGAAAAUUACAUUUAAGCAUCUUGUCCCAUUUGUUUGCAUAAUGUUUUAAGACGAUGGCUUGGUAAUUUCUUUGUCAUUACAUCUGCAAGUUGAUGUUCAGUUGAAAUUUGUUGAACCAUAAUUUGACCUUCAAUAACUUUCUCUCUAAUGAAGAAAUGUUUUAUGGCAAUAUGUUUCGUCCUGUUUUCAUACAACCCCCAAAAUCUGCAUCACUGUAGCAUUCCAGUAUUCGUUUUUCUGCAUCAUUUCGAUAAGUUAUACCAUACUCUAAUGUUCCUGCUAUGUAUCGAAAAACUCUCUUGACUCUUGUAAUAUCUUCAGGUGAUGGAUUUUCGAGUGUUCUUGAAAGAAAUCCUACACUAUAUGCAAGAUCCGGUCUUAUUCCAAGCAUUAAAUACAUUAAUCCACCAACGGCUUGUCUGUAUGGAAAUGUGUUUUUCUCUGUUUCUUCUUUCCCUGAUUUGAAAGUUUCAGUAUUCUUGAUCAUAGGAGUUGAAAUCGAUUUGCACUCAGAAAAAUUAAAUCUUUCAAGAAUUCUUCUAGCAUGUGCUGUCUGUUUAAUUUUAAUGUUUUUAUUUUUCAACUCGAUUUCUAGUCCCAGAAAAUAAACAGCUUCCUUCGAAAUGAUUUUAAAUUCUUGUUUAAGUUCUUUUAUGAAUAAAUCUAGGUCUUUCUUAUCUGUGGCCGCAACUAAGCCGUCAUCAACAUAUAAAACGAGAAUAAGUUUAUUCCCAUUUCUUUCUCGAAUAAACAAACAUGGAUCAGCUUCACUUGUUUUGAAUCCCAAAUUCAAAAUAAAGUUUCCAAACCGUUUAUUCCAGCACCUUGACGACUUUUUAAGACCAUAAAGACUUCUUUUUAGUUUACAUACCUUAUCUGUGCCAUCAGCAAACCCCUCUGGUUGCUUCAUGAGUAUGACUUCUUCAAGUUCUCCGUAUAGAAAGGCUGUUGAUACGUCAAAUUGCGCAAGGUGCAUGCCUUCACUUGCAGCAAUACUUAAAAUUGACCGUAUCGUCCCUAACUUCGCAACAGGACUGAACGUUUGACAGAAGUCAAUACCAUAACGCUGGCUAAAACCUUUUGCUACUAACCUGGCUUUAUAUUUGUCGAUACUACCAUCAGGAUUUUUCUUCAGAUUGUAAACCCACUUGCAAGGUAUAGCUUUUGUUCCUUUCGGUAGUUCGGUUAGUAUCCAUGUCUGGUUUUCUUUGAGUGAUGUAAUUUCUCUUUGCAUUGCCUUUUUCCACUCAUUUUUGUUCUUAUUGGUAGUUGCUUCUUGGUAAUUUUCAGGACUUUCUAAAUUACUUACAAAUUCUUCCGCUGACAUAACAAAAUCAUCGAACUUCAUUGGUCUCUUCAAUUGUGUGCUUUUUCUUAGACUUUCUUUUCCUAUUGAUGGUUUUUGGAUUUCUUCUUCUUCAUUGUCUAGAUCAGUGUCUUGGCCGGUAUAAUAUUCAUCACUUUCUAUAUCUUCUUCAUUGUCAAAUUCAUUGUCACUGUUGGUUCUAUAUUCUUCGUUUUCUGUCAUAGUUGGUUCUUCAUCUAUAAAUGUAUUUUCAGGUUCAUCGUCAGAUCUUUCUUCUUUAACAUCAUGUAGGGGUAAAUUAACAGUAUUCUUACAAAUUCUUGGCCUUUCUUGAAAUUGGACAUCUCUAGAUAAUAUAACUUUAUUAUCUUCCUUGUUGAAUAUUCGAAACCGUUCAUCACCAUCAUAUCCAACUAGAUAUCCCUUCACAGCUUUCUUAUCCAUUUUCUUUCUCUUCUGUAAAGGUACAUGCGUAAAACAUGUAGACCCAAUGAUUCUGAGGUGUUUUAUUCUAGGUUUCUUUCCCAUCCAGAGCUCGUAUGGACUUUUUUCUUGAAUUGAUGAUUUGCCGGUUCUGUUCAAAAUAUAUACAGCAGAAUUAACUAAUUCUGCCCAAAUAGCUUCUGGAAAUGUAACUUCUGAGUUGGAAUAUUUGAAAGUUCUUGCCAUUUCUAUGAUAGUUCUGUUUUCUCGUUCACUUCCACCAUUUUGCUGAGGUGUAUAAGGAGCGGUCAGUCUUUGCACAAUGCCAUGAUCUCGAAGUAUGUUUUUGACUUCAGCAUUGUCGAACUCACCACCAUUGUCACUUAAUAAUUCUUUGAUAUUAUGACCUAAACCUUUUGCAUGUGCUAGCACUUCUUUCAGGGCAUCUUUUACGUCUGACUUUCUUUCAAUUGCAAAACCAUAGCGAUAUUUUGUGAAACUAUCUUGAAACACAACUAAAUAACGCUUGUUCUUGAAUGAACCACUGAACGGUCCACAAACAUCAGUCGACAUUAACUCGCCUGGUUGAGUUGCUUUUCUUCGAGUUCCAAAAGAUAAUCGAUGCAUCUUCCCAUAAAUACAUGGCUCACAAAUAGUAUUAUCUAGUUUUACAUUGAUUCCCAACUCUCUUUCUAGUAAUGCUUUGACGUGACGUUUGUCUUGGUGACCCCAUCUCUCGUGGUAAAGUUGUAAUGUUGUGCUUUCAUUGACUGCAAUGUUUAGACCACAUCUUUCUUGAGUUUUGACUGUUCUUAUAUCUGCUUUAUACAAUGACCCAUUCGUCUUACGAUGGCCACAUAACAAGACUUGACCAUUUACUUCAAGCCAGCAUUUUGUAGGCAAUGACUUAAAUAUGCUAUUUUGGUUUCUGUCUUGAGAUGCUAGUACUGAAAAUAAAUUUCUAGAAACAUUAGGUACAUACCAUACAUCUCUCAAUGUAAUUUCGAUCUCUUCACUAUUGACUCGGGACAUCAUUAGUAUGUUUCCUUUGCCAACUGCUUUUAAAGUUUCCUUUCCAGCUGCUUGAAUACUGCACGGAGUCUCAAAUUCUUUAAACUCGUAGAAGUAAUCUGCAGAAUUAGUGACAUGUUUUGUUGCCCCAUUGUCAACCCACCAAUCGUUUGAGUUUUCUUCAUAUGUUAGAACUUCGUUGCAGACUGAAACAAGCGAAGCAUUCACACCCUUCGAAUCGAUCUGGUUGACAUAUGGCUCUUUACUUCUAUUUGGUCUUCCGUCAGAUAUCCAUUUUCUACAAUCCCGCAGCAAAUGACCUUUUUUCUUGCAGUAAUUACAUAAAUCGUCUUUUCUGGGCCACUUCUUCUUAAUAUUUAUAUCAUAUUUCUUAUGAGUUCUUGCUAUUAGGGCGUCUUGAGAAUCGUCUUCUUGAGUAGUCUUCUGAAAAUUUCUCUCGAACAAACAUAUUUGUGCUGUCAGUUCGUCAAAAGUUUUCUCUUCUUCUUUGGUUAAGAGCAUCCAACUUGAUUUGAAUGACUCAUAUUUGCUUGGUAAAAUGUGUAAAAUCUUGCACACUAGCAUUAAAUCUGGUAAUGCGUUAUACUUUUUAGCAAUAAGACCAUUAUAAAGCUCAUUCCAUAAGUUUCUCAACUGAGCAAUGUGUGUAGACACAUCAUCGCCUGUCUUCCAGUUGAAACUAAAAAGAUCAGUACAAAUUUUGAAUAGCUGAUCUUUGGAAGACGCUUCAAAUUGAUUCUUCAAUGCAUUCCAUGCAUCGUAGGCCGUUUCCUUGUCCAUGAUUUUCUGAUAUACAGCAUCAGUUACAGAGCUAGUUAUCAUAGACUUUGAGUAACUAUUUGCUCUUCUGUAUAAAUCACACUUCGCCUUGUGUUCUUUCUUCUCAGGUUCCGUAGCAGUGGCUGCCAAUGCUUCAGGCUUCUCUAAUUUGCCAUCAAUGACGUCAACUGCCCCUUCGUGAUAAUCAAGAAGAUCUCGCAUUUUCCGCUUCCAUAUUGGCCAAUCUUGUUCACCAGUUAAUAAUCUAAUAUUCUUCAUUAGAUCCAUAUCUUUAUCUUAUAUCUUCUUAAUUUUUCUUUGAAAAUGAAUCUUCUUUUUAUCGUUACCGAAAAAUAAUAUUUCUUUAAAUAAUCUGUUUAAUAUUUAUUUAUAAAAUAGCUGCUGGUCCCAUAACCUAUUGCAUUUAUUAAAUGGAAAGCCAGUUUUAUAAAUAAACAAAUAACAAUUGGAAUUUUAUUUAAAGGAAAUAUUAGUUCAGCUCAUAACAAAGUUUUUGAUUAGAAUAAUUAAUAUUGAAGAAUAAUUUUCUGAUAUAAAAUUAUUUACUAACUCAAUAUAUAAAACAAAAAACAAGUAGUUGUAAAUAACAAGUAACAUAUAAUAAGUUCUUAACUUCAAUAAGCGCGAGUGUAGUAUAAUAAAUAAUACAACCCAGAAAUCAACCUAAAUAUGCAAAUCAAUCAUUGUGUACAUGUCAAAUGUCAAUAUACAUUUUUACACACAAACAAGUGCAUAUUUACCAAUGUACCCACAUAUCUAAUCCUUUACCUAUAUCCCCGCACGAGCCAUGUGAAUAUUACACAAUGCAAAGAACAGAACAACCCUUCAAGCAAGAAAACUGAGUUCAACAAAGAAACUCCGACCUCAGACCGCGAAAAUCAGGCUUGCACUCACACACUUGCAACUUUUUGUGUAUGAACACAAAGUCGAACGAGAAUCGUGGUGAAAAAUGAGAAAAGGAAAAGAAAGACAAGGCCAACAAGAGCCAAAGCGUCAUUUUGUUAUUUUUUGUUGAAGUGUUUGGUCGCGUCGUGUCUCGUGUCGUUGUUUGUAUAAUGUUAGUUUAUUAAUUAUAAACAAUUUUAUUAAAUUAUAAACAAUAUGGAAAACAAAAAAGAUGUAAUCUCUAAUGAUGAAGAAAAAUCUAGAAGGUGAAACAUGCGAUUGGGUAUCUAAAAAAACACCAACAACAGCAGCAGCAUCAAAUGAAAUAAAAUGAAAAAAAAUGUAUUGUAUUUUAUAUUGUAUUUAUUGUGAAAAUUUCGUUUGCCAAAAUAAAAUAAAAAAUAAAACAGUUUCAGUGAAAAAAAAAUAAA
Molecule: long non-coding RNA, 5698 nt
Organism: Episyrphus balteatus (marmalade hoverfly)
Lineage: Eukaryota; Metazoa; Arthropoda; Insecta; Diptera; Syrphidae
Exons: 2
Source: RefSeq, a predicted model, not a curated record